AGAGUUUGAUCCUGGCUCAGAUUGAACGCUGGCGGCAGGCCUAACACAUGCAAGUCGAACGGUAGCACAGAGAGCUUGCUCUCGGGUGACGAGUGGCGGACGGGUGAGUAAUGUCUGGGAAACUGCCUGAUGGAGGGGGAUAACUACUGGAAACGGUAGCUAAUACCGCAUAACGUCGCAAGACCAAAGAGGGGGACCUUCGGGCCUCUUGCCAUCAGAUGUGCCCAGAUGGGAUUAGCUAGUAGGUGGGGUAAUGGCUCACCUAGGCGACGAUCCCUAGCUGGUCUGAGAGGAUGACCAGCCACACUGGAACUGAGACACGGUCCAGACUCCUACGGGAGGCAGCAGUGGGGAAUAUUGCACAAUGGGCGCAAGCCUGAUGCAGCCAUGCCGCGUGUAUGAAGAAGGCCUUCGGGUUGUAAAGUACUUUCAGCGGGGAGGAAGGUGUUGUGGUUAAUAACCACAGCAAUUGACGUUACCCGCAGAAGAAGCACCGGCUAACUCCGUGCCAGCAGCCGCGGUAAUACGGAGGGUGCAAGCGUUAAUCGGAAUUACUGGGCGUAAAGCGCACGCAGGCGGUCUGUCAAGUCGGAUGUGAAAUCCCCGGGCUCAACCUGGGAACUGCAUUCGAAACUGGCAGGCUGGAGUCUUGUAGAGGGGGGUAGAAUUCCAGGUGUAGCGGUGAAAUGCGUAGAGAUCUGGAGGAAUACCGGUGGCGAAGGCGGCCCCCUGGACAAAGACUGACGCUCAGGUGCGAAAGCGUGGGGAGCAAACAGGAUUAGAUACCCUGGUAGUCCACGCCGUAAACGAUGUCGAUUUGGAGGUUGUGCCCUUGAGGCGUGGCUUCCGGAGCUAACGCGUUAAAUCGACCGCCUGGGGAGUACGGCCGCAAGGUUAAAACUCAAAUGAAUUGACGGGGGCCCGCACAAGCGGUGGAGCAUGUGGUUUAAUUCGAUGCAACGCGAAGAACCUUACCUGGUCUUGACAUCCACAGAACUUUCCAGAGAUGGAUUGGUGCCUUCGGGAACUGUGAGACAGGUGCUGCAUGGCUGUCGUCAGCUCGUGUUGUGAAAUGUUGGGUUAAGUCCCGCAACGAGCGCAACCCAUAUCCUUUGUUGCCAGCGGUCCGGCCGGGAACUCAAAGGAGACUGCCAGGGGUAAACUGGAGGAAGGUGGGGAUGACGUCAAGUCAUCAUGGCCCUUACGACCAGGGCAACACACGUGCUACAAUGGCGCAUACAAAGAGAAGCGACCUCGCGAGAGCAAGCGGACCUCAUAAAGCGCGUCGUAGUCCGGAUUGGAGUCUGCAACUCGACUCCAUGAAGUCGGAAUCGCUAGUAAUCGUAGAUCAGAAUGCUACGGUGAAUACGUUCCCGGGCCUUGCACACACCGCCCGUC
RNAcentral lists this ribosomal RNA (1398 nucleotides) under uncultured bacterium. RNAcentral describes it as "bacterial SSU rRNA". It matches the Rfam family "Bacterial small subunit ribosomal RNA". The record is from RNAcentral.